CCUACGGGUGGCAGCAGUGAGGAAUAUUGGUCAAUGGACGAGAGUCUGAACCAGCCAAGUAGCGUGAAGGAUGACUGCCCUAUGGGUUGUAAACUUCUUUUAUAUGGGAAUAAAAUGUUCCACGUGUGGGAUUUUGUAUGUACCAUAUGAAUAAGGAUCGGCUAACUCCGUGCCAGCAGCCGCGGUAAUACGGAGGAUCCGAGCGUUAUCCGGAUUUAUUGGGUUUAAAGGGAGCGUAGGUGGAUUGUUAAGUCAGUUGUGAAAGUUUGCGGCUCAACCGUAAAAUUGCAGCUGAAACUGGCAGUCUUGAGUACAGUAGAGGUGGGCGGAAUUCGUGGUGUAGCGGUGAAAUGCUUAGAUAUCACGAAGAACUCCGAUUGCGAAGGCAGUUCACUGGACUGCAACUGACACUGAGGCUCGAAAGUGUGGGUAUCAAACAGGAUUAGAUACCCUUGUAGUC
Molecule: ribosomal RNA, 460 nt
Filed under: uncultured bacterium
Lineage: Bacteria
Description: partial 16S ribosomal RNA
Rfam family: Bacterial small subunit ribosomal RNA
Source: RNAcentral